RNAcentral lists this ribosomal RNA (300 nucleotides) under uncultured Methanobrevibacter sp. RNAcentral describes it as "bacterial SSU rRNA". It matches the Rfam family "Bacterial small subunit ribosomal RNA", at positions 496 to 795 of the family's 1533-position model. Lineage: Archaea; Methanobacteriati; Methanobacteriota; Methanobacteria; Methanobacteriales; Methanobacteriaceae. The record is from RNAcentral.
CGCAAGUGUGAGCGAGCAGGCGGGGUAAUCUGGGGGGUGCAAGUGGUAGCCGGAGUCACUGGGUUAAAAGGGUGCGGAGGUGGCUUGGGAAGGAAGUGGUGGAAUCCCCGAGCUUAACUUGGGAACUGACAUUGAUACUAUCAGUCUUGAAUACUGUGGAGGUUAGCGGAAUAUGUCAUGUGGCGGGGAAAUGCUUAGAUAUGACAUAGAACACCAAUUGCGAAGGCAGCUGGCUACACAUAUAUUGACACUGAUGCACGAAAGCGUGGGGAUCAAACAGGAUUAGAUACCCCGGUAGUC